RNAcentral lists this ribosomal RNA (311 nucleotides) under uncultured bacterium. Its description in RNAcentral is "bacterial SSU rRNA". It matches the Rfam family "Bacterial small subunit ribosomal RNA", at positions 32 to 353 of the family's 1533-position model. The record is from RNAcentral.
AAUCAACGCUGGCGGCGUGCCUAACACAUGCAAGUCGAACGAGAAAGUGGAGCAAUCCAUGAGUAAAGUGGCGCACGGGUGAGUAACACGUGACUAACCUACCCUUGAGUGGGGGAUAACCUAGGGAAACCUGGGCUAAUACCGCAUAAUACCUACGGGUCAAAGGAGCAAUUCGCUUUAGGAGGGGGUCGCGGCAGAUUAGUUAGUUGGCGGGGUAAGUGGCCCACCAAGACGAUGAUCGUAUCCGGCCUGAGAGGGCGCACGGACACACUGGAACUGAAACACGGUCCAGACUCCUACGGGAGGCAGCA